This 253-nucleotide ribosomal RNA is filed under the name uncultured bacterium. RNAcentral describes it as "partial 16S ribosomal RNA". It matches the Rfam family "Bacterial small subunit ribosomal RNA", at positions 524 to 776 of the family's 1533-position model. RNAcentral also lists the same sequence under 2 other names. The record is from RNAcentral.
UACGAGAGGCCCAAACGUUAUUCGGAAUUACUGGGCUUAAAGAGUUCGUAGGCGGCGCGGAAAGUAGGGUGUGAAAGCCCUCGGCUCAACCGAGGAAUUGCGCUCUAAACUGCCGUGCUUGAGGGACCUAGAGGUAAGCGGAACUGAUGGUGGAGCGGUGAAAUGCGUUGAUAUCAUCAGGAACACCGGAGGCGAAGGCGGCUUACUGGGGGUCUUCUGACGCUGAGGAACGAAAGCCAGGGGAGCGAACGGG